UUUUUUUUUUUAUGUAUAAUAAUUAAUUUUAAUGUCUACGCUAUUCUCAUUUAAUUAUUUUUUUUAAAAAAAUUAUUAUUUAGUCUUUAUAGUAUGUGGGAACUCACUAAUUAUUUAAUUAGUUUCUCGAUUCUAAAAAAUAUAUUAAAAAAUUAUUAAUAUCUUAAAAAUGUUAUUAAUUAGUUUCUUUGUUAAUUUGCCGUUAAAUAUUUUAUUAUUUAGUAUCUAUAAUUUUAAAAAAUUUAAUAGUUAUUUUUUUAUAUUUUUAAAAAAUUUACUAAUUAGUCCAUUAUAUUAAAAAUAUUUUAGAUUUUUUUUAUAAUAUUUAAUGAUUAAAACUAAUAAAAGAAUUAAUUAAUAGAUUUUUUAAAACGUUAGAGAUAUUUUAAUAUAUUUUUUAAUAUAUUUUUCAACAUUGCGUGAAUUUUUUCGCAUUAUAAAAAUUAAAUAAUAAUUUAUCUAAAUUUUAAUACGAAUAACAAGCAUGAAAGGUAAAAUUAGUAUUGAGUGUGAAAUUAAUUACUUAAUUCGUUUAUUUUCAAUAAUAUGUUAAUUAGUCAUUGUCCUAAUUAUUUAGUCCACCCAUUUUUUAAAUUAUUAAUUUUGUAUGAAAUAACUAAAUUGCCCUUACUUUUAAUUAAUGCAUGCAAUUCUAAAGUAUAACUAUUCGGUUCAUAUAAUUUCAAAAUAAAAUUAUUUAAUUCUAUAAUUUUAAUACUAUAAUUAUUUAGUCUAAUAUAAUUUAAAAUUAUAACUAUUUAAUUUUUGUAAUUCACAAGAGAGAAUAAAUAAUUUCUUUUAUUUAACUCCCUCAUUAUAUCUAUCUUAAAAAUAUUAAAUUUUAUUAAAUAUUAAAAUAUUUUUAAAAAAUAAGAUAAAAUUAAUUAAAAUUAUAAUAAUUAAUUUAUAUAUUAUUAUAAUAAAAAAAUAAACUAUAUUUAAAAAAAAAAAAAGAAAAUAAACAACUAACUGCUAUUAAAAUCACUAACGUCCUCAACAUGGCCAUAGUGUUUUUAAUGGAUUGGAUUAAUAUGACUUAGAUAUCAUAGUAUAUUUUAAAAUAAUAUAAAAGGAUAAAUUACUAGAUUAUUCUUGAGCAAUGCCAUAAUUAAUAAUUUUGAUUUUUAUAUUUUUAAAAAUUCAUUAAAAUAUUUUUAAAUUGUGAUUUCAUUAAAUUUUUUUAUUUAAUUAUAAUAUUAUAAAAAUUUAUUAUUUAAUCUUUCAAUUUUAAAAAAUAUAUUAAAACAUUCUUAAUAAUUUAAAAAUUUAUUAAUCCGUUAUUCUAUUAAUUUUAAUCAUUACGAAUUUUACUCGUUCAUGAAAAUUUAUUUAAAAUUUUAAAUAUAAAUUAUUUUCUACAAUUUGUUCAUGUGGUGGAAUCAUGGUGUCUUAAUUUUGGUAAUUGAAUUCAACAAGUUAAUUAUUCAACUUAAUGAUUAUUAUAGAUAAGCCCACUAAACCUUUUUGGUUUCGUAAACUUAAAGGAUCAAUUAUUAAAUUAAAAUCACCAUUAAUAAUGUGAUUAUGCCCAAAGAUUUUCCCAAUUAUUAAGAACAGGAUUACAUCUCUUUCAUAAUUUUUAUUUAUUUUAAUUUUUUAUAUAUAUUAAAAAAUAUAAUAUUUUCAUUAAUUUUUUAAUUAUAUCUAUUUUAAAUAUAUUAAAUUUUAUUAAAUAUUAAGAGAUAUUUUAAAAAUAAAAUAUAUAAAUUAUUAUAGUCUAAUAAUAAUAAUAAUUUUAAAUAAUUAAAAAAUAUUAAAAAUUUAUAAAAUGACUGAAGUAAAUAUGUGUAUGAAAAAAAAAAAAUCAUCUUGACAACUCAACUUUGAAUAUGAGUGAUGACAAGGAGAGUGUUUCAAACCAAAUUAUAAAUUUUAAAAAUAAAUUUAUUUAUUUAUUAUAUUUUUUAACUUAUAUUUUAGUUUGCCAAAUUAAAAAAAAUGAAAAUCAGAGUUUUAUUUUAAUGUUUAUAAACAGUGUAUUUGGAAGCUCAUUUGAUAACGUAUUUUUAUUAUAUUUGAUAUUUCUCCACUUUGGACUGGGGCAGGCCCAUAUCGUGAACCCAUCAUUUGGGGGAGGAGUUCAAGGCCUUCCCUGUGAGACUGGUUCAACCCGUUCCCCUCCAGAUCAGACUCCAAACAAUUUCCUCAAUCAGGCCGGCUUAACCUCUUAGGCCCGAUGAAUAGAUUCUUUUUGAACUCGGCCCGUGACUUAUCUUCCAGUCCAGUCCGGAAUCAGGAGGGAGACCCACCUGUCCGUCACGUGGGUCCAUACGCAUACGCGCCCGAGGAGAAUCAGGGACCGUUACGCAUGGGGCAGAGAUCUGAUUCUCUCGUACGUCCGUAUCAACGUAGUAGGGGCAGGUGGUCCAAUGAUAUACGUUCUGUUAACACGUCACUAGCAGACAAAAGAAAACAUAUAAAAUGAGAAAUACUCUCCUCUAGAAAGAAGGCUUUUUCCUAUUUUACAGAAUCCAUUGUAAAAUCCUAUUUUCUAAAUCUCAUAUUAUCAAUAUUUUUUUAUCAAUUUUAAAAUUGCACACAUAUUUUUUAAUAUUAUUUUUAAUAAUUAUAGCAAUGAAGAUGCUUACAAACUAUUUUUUACUGCACAUGCCAAUAACUUAUAAACAUGUUUACUUGUUUAAAAAUUUUAGAUGCUUAUAAAAUUAAAGGAAUUAUCAUUUAGUUUCUUGUAAUAUAAAAAUCUCACUAAUUAAUAUUUUGAUUUUAAAAAAUAUAUUAAAAUAUUUUUAAAAUAAUAUUUUAAAAAAUAAAUUAAAAAAAACAGUGAUGCACGGAAAAAUUCCAACUUAAGAGUUACAAAUUUUAAGUCGUAAGUAAGGCAGUAUUAGCAAUUGGUUAAUCCCAAGUCAUUUUUAAUAAUUUUAGAUGGUCAAUCCAACCAGAUACAAAACUGGGGUUUGGUUUGAUCUUAAAUUACUCAUAAUUGAUUAAAAGAAUACAUUAUGGAAUAACCCUUAGCAUCACCUAGAGACACAUCUCUGAGUUUCGCUCUUAUCUUACCUUUUAGAAAGGAUUUAUCCAUUUGAUAUUAUUCAAAUAUUUAUUAGAGCCUGGUAAAUUUUAAGGCUCCACUAGGUUGGAAGAAAAAAAACAAUAUUUUUACAUUUUUUAAUGUAAAUAAAUUAGUUAAUAAAAAAAUUUUACUAACUUUUUAAAAAAAUAACUUUCACUUUUCCAAAAAUUAUCAUUUUCUAUAUUUUAAUAAUUUUACUAAUAUCAUUAUAUAUAUAAAUAUAUUAUUAUUAUUUUUUAUUUUUUAAAAUAAAAUUAAAUAAUAAAAAAAUAAAUUAUUUUAUUAAAAAGUACUUUUCACAAAAAAAAUUUUUCACAUAAAUUAUUUUUCAUAAUAUUUUUCAAAUUGCAAGGUUCAUUUAGUUUCAAAAACAUUUUUUAUAUCGAAAAAUGUCUUUUUUUUCAGGAAAAGUGGAAACCUCGAUCCUAAACAACCUAUUAAUGAACUCAAUUAACACGAAACUCCUCUCUACUUCCUACCCAGUGUUUUACGCUUCUUUUUUCCAUUAGAUGAAAAUGGACAUGAAAGCAUAAAGCCCAAGACAAAGCUGAAUUGAGCCCCAAUGUUAGUAAGAAAGCUAGGAUCUUUCUUAGCUUUAAAUGCUAUGGAGCCUGCAGCUUUGUUCAUAUAUCUUCGGACAUGGCAGAAAGACACUUGUUGACAAUUCUGCUUGAGCUGGUUGAUAUCCCAAAUGAUCCCACAGAUAGAUGAUGGAAAAUUUUACUUGGAGAGAGUCACCCUCCAGCAUAACUGUGCUUAACCCCUAUCCAUAGCCAUUAUGAUGGCCUACUGGCAAGCUAAGGCUUCUAACACGAGAGUCUGUGAUACCAGGAACAGCUUUAAAACACCAGAACAACAGAUGACCUGCAGAGUUCCUAGCUAUUAUAGCUAUGAAUCCACAUCUCCUAUUCACAUCAUCCCAACCAGCCUUCAUAUCUCCACAGACAAUACCCAAUGUCUAGACUUGUGGAUCUUUCAUAAAAUCUAUUUCAUUUCUUUUUUCAGUAUCAUUCUUCUUAAGGCCGAAACAAAAGGUCCCGACCCGCGCCAACCUCAUUUGGCCUUCGGGUGAUUCUUUACCAAUUAAAACUCAAACACAAACAAAAGCAAGUAUACGAUAAAAGCCUCAAACAUCAAAUUCCAGCAACCUUUUCCAUUUGAGCGAAUUUACAAGAUGAUAUACCAAGUUAGAUUUCUGAUCACAUUCAUCCAUAGUAAAGCCUUCCAAAUUCCACUAAUGUCAGCUCACUCUUGACAAGGUAUAGGCUCUGGGUGAUGCCUUAGAUCAAGAGCUCUGGAUUAUAAAUUGGAUCAAAGAUGCAGAAAGUCUACACUGCACAUUUCUUCUCUCUUUGUGGGGGGCUGGGUUCUGGAUUGGGAGUUUAACCAACCAAGAAGGCACAUUUGUGUGUGUGCACAUGUAUCCAUGCGUCAGUGUUGAGGGAUGAUAAUGGAUAAUGGAAGAUAAUCUUCCAACAGUGUACAUAAACCAUUGAAAACAAUAACCUCCUAAUGCUCAUGCAUGCUCAUCUUACGAAUUGAUCUCAUUGUCCCAACUUCUAGCUUAACGCUAGUAAAAAAGUCAAAAGUUAUAUCAAUUGCAUUGAUAUUGCUAAAACAAAGCAUUACAUGUAAUAUGCCUUCCUCCAAUAUUCAACAUAACUGGGUGCUAGUUACAAGCCAAUCUUUCAAUUGCAACAUAGGUACAAGUGAUUGCAAAGAGCUAUGUGAAUAACUGCAAUUUAGUGAACACUUCACUGCAACCCAUUUCUCCAGUUUAAAAAAAACCAUUUGAGAAGGAAAACUUAAAAUUUGUUACAUUUCCUCGAAUAUCUUAAGUUUAUAUGAUCUUUGAUCACCAAAAACGAUCAACAGAGACUGGAGUGGAGUACCUCUCACAGUAAUAGAAACCCAGAAACAUUAGCCUUAACUAAUCAGGGAUGUGCAUUGCAAAUCUCAGUUUCAUUUCCAUUGCCAUAAACCUUAGGUAGCCUUUCCACCGCAUUCAUGACUAGCAUUUUGCUAAGCAAGCUAAAGCUACACUUGAUGACGAAUACAAGCACAAUACACUAUAACAUCUAGCAUCUAUACCCUAACACUUAUUCUCCAAAUGAAUCACAUUUGCUCUUUUUCUAUCAUCAUCAUGCUCAGUGCUUCAUCCUAGAUUAAUGUUCAAGAAAGUUGCUGGAGUGGAACGAUUUUACCUUCUUUUUUUUGAAAAAAAAAGGAUAAAAUCUUUAAAAAAAAAAAGAAAAUCUAACAUUACUCAUAAUUUGCUCCUUGUAUCCCUCCAUAGUUAUCUAAGCACUGAGGAUUAUUAAUUCAGAAUUCACAACUAUUCCAAAAUCACGCCGCCCCGAGGGAUGCAAAGGAGAGAUAGAGGUUUGGUUCUACUAAAAGAUAAAUAUAAAUGAGCUGAUAAUCGCAAGGCUACUAAAUUCAUAGCAUUUCCCUACUAGAAAAACUAAGAACAGAUAAAGGAAUUGUAAUUUUAUUACUUAAAAAGCUGGGAAAAUUCAAGAGCUUGUAGAAUUGAAAUCUAGGUGAAAUUCAAGUCCUGAGAAGUGAGAAGAAUCAUAAAUCACACGAACAAACAAAAAGAACCUUCUAAAUCUGUGCGCUUUUAUAAUUGAUAGUAAUAGUUUUCAUACAACUAUCAAACAACACGAAAUCACACCACAAAUUAAAGGGAAAAAAACCCUCAGAUUUCACCCGAAAAAAGAAAGAAAAAAAAACUGUACACAAGUGGGGGAAUUAUGUUUAAAUCACCGAGAAUUAAAGCUAUUUAGCAGGCAGAGACGACAAGAGGCUAGCGAUGUUAUCUUGCUGCUCUUGAAACCUUCGCUUGAGGUAGGUCUCGAGGAUCUCCAUAACGGAGACGAAUCGCUUCAUUUCCUCAAGCCGGCGACUGAGCUCGGCCUCACGAGCCCUGGCUCGUUCAAGGCGAGCCUCGGUCUCGGCAAGGCGGCCCCGUAGAUCUUCUACUACAGAUGUGUUAUUGUUUCGGGAUCGGGGGUUUCGUGAAGGGAUUAGGUCAUCUGACGAUAAGGAGCGUUGGUGACCGUAGCACAUAGUUAGAAACGGUGCAAGAUUCAAGAGCCGGUGGACGGUGGCUGCUCAGGGAGCGAAGAGAAAGGGAAUUUUGCCUGCCCUAUCCGUAUCACAAUUUCAGGGAAUUUUUUUCAGGUUAGGGGCUGUAACUAGGGCUCGCCAUGGUCCGGUUCGAACUAUAAAAUGGACCGGAACUGAUCUGGUUAAAUUCAGAUCAAACCUAUAAAAUGGUUUUGAUUUUGAAUUGGACUGAAGUUGCCUACUAGGGAAGCUGGUUCGGUCCUUCCUCCUUGC
Molecule: long non-coding RNA, 6379 nt
Filed under: Manihot esculenta (cassava)
Lineage: Eukaryota; Viridiplantae; Streptophyta; Magnoliopsida; Malpighiales; Euphorbiaceae
Description: long non-coding RNA (MESC_LNC008074)
Source: RNAcentral